Asparagus officinalis (garden asparagus) is the source of this 507-nucleotide long non-coding RNA. RefSeq lists it as uncharacterized. The transcript is spliced from 3 exons. Lineage: Eukaryota; Viridiplantae; Streptophyta; Magnoliopsida; Asparagales; Asparagaceae. The record is from RefSeq and is a predicted model, not a curated record.
UCCAACAGACGUUAGAUAUUGUACGAGGAGUAUCAGGGUUUCAGCUCCGAUGGUGAGGAAGUCGAGGGUUUGUAUUCCAGGGAGAGAUUUGUCGUGGUCGCUGAGAGAUCUUCUCGCUGGGAUUGGGAGCACUGAGGAGCUUCAACUGGGUCCUGAAGUGGUUCAGUGCUUGUCGUCAUGCUACACCCCUUUGGAGUUCGCCUCUACUUUUCAGAAGCUAAAGAAAUUGCAGCUAAUUGACGUAUGGACUAAAGAUACAGAACAGACUCCUGCACUUCACUUCUCCAAAGCUUCUCUCAGUUACGAGAGUUAUAUGAGUUGAGGUAAGGGACAUGCCUCAAGAAAACAAUCUUCUGGCCACUUUGAUCGAUAGACGAAGUGUACGUGAUGGUCGCAAGAUGGAGCAAGCAAUUGUUAUUGGUUUCAUUGGUAACUUAAAUGAAGUAGAGAUGGAGAAAUUUCUAAGGCAGAAAUUAAAGCUCGAGUUUUGAAGGGCAUUGUACUAGA